Molecule: ribosomal RNA, 253 nt
Filed under: uncultured bacterium
Lineage: Bacteria
Description: partial 16S ribosomal RNA
Rfam family: Bacterial small subunit ribosomal RNA
Source: RNAcentral
UACGGAAGGUCCAGGCGUUAUCCGGAUUUAUUGGGUUUAAAGGGAGUGUAGGCGGUCUGUUAAGCGUGUUGUGAAAUUUAGGUGCUCAACAUUUAACUUGCAGCGCGAACUGGCGGACUUGAGUGCACGCAACGUAUGCGGAAUUCAUGGUGUAGCGGUGAAAUGCUUAGAUAUCAUGACGAACUCCGAUUGCGAAGGCAGCGUACGGGAGUGUUACUGACGCUUAAGCUCGAAGGUGCGGGUAUCGAACAGG